This 886-nucleotide long non-coding RNA is filed under the name Olea europaea (common olive). RNAcentral describes it as "long non-coding RNA (OEUR_LNC007807)". Lineage: Eukaryota; Viridiplantae; Streptophyta; Magnoliopsida; Lamiales; Oleaceae. The record is from RNAcentral.
CUAACUGGAAUAUAUAUGUAAAACAUAUUUCACCUAAAAAACAAAAAGGAAAAACACAUAAAUUCCUCAACAUAACACAUUAGAACAGACAAAGCAGGUGGCAGCGAAAACAUAUAGGAAUAACCAUUGUAACUAUCAAUUGGCCUAAUACUCCCACUCUCCAAAUCAAACACUCCGAUACUGUGACACUUUCCAAACCCAAUCAUAAUCCCUGCGACAAAAAAACUCAUUUGUAAAAAAUACAGAAUUACCUUUACACCCAUUAUACCCAAAAAUCACCAAAGCAGAAGUUUAAAAUGCGCAAUUAUCACCCAGGAACAACAACGUAUCACCCAAAUUAGUCACUUUGACCAAUUUUUCAUCAAUUUCAUCCAACCUAAAAACUUUGAUCUUAUCGUCCUCUCACUCGUAUAACAAUCAAAUUCCUAGUAGAACUCAAAAUCCUCAAUGUACCCCAAAUCAUCCUCCAGUGCAACAGUUAAAUAAUUAUCGACUAACAAUAUAUUAUUUUAAUCAUCUCAUUUUUCUCUUUGUCCACAUUUUCAGCUUCUUUUUAGAAUUUCAAAACAACACUCAGAAAGUAAGAAAUACUUAAAUAUGGAUUUAAGACACACAUCAUAUAUGGCAAAACCAUCACACAAACUUCAAUUGUUCUCCGAAAUUUUAGAUUAUAGACACAUGAACCAAGCAGCAAAAAUUCAAGAAACCAACAUACACAGUUCAUUGUUUACCUAUGAACUUUAGUUUUAGCAAGCUUUGCACUGCUCUACAUUCAUGAUAGUUGCAGAAAGAACAUCACUGUAAAAGGAAGUAAUCCUUUUAGCCUCUGCUAGUACAGAUGCGGUAUGGAAGUGAACACCAUCCUUAAUUGUACGCAUGGGGAAGC